Molecule: ribosomal RNA, 207 nt
Filed under: uncultured bacterium
Lineage: Bacteria
Description: partial 16S ribosomal RNA
Rfam family: Bacterial small subunit ribosomal RNA
Source: RNAcentral
GGUGUAGGUGGAUCUAUAAGUCAGGAGUGAAAGCCCCGAGCUCAACUUGGGAAGUGCUUUUGAUACUGCAGAUCUUGAAUGUGGGAGAGGAUCGUGGGAUUCCAGGUGUAGUGGUGAAAUACGUAGAUAUCUGGAGGAACACCGGUGGCGAAGGCGGCGAUCUGGCCCAACAUUGACACUGAGACCCGAAAGCGUGGGGAUCAAACA